CUGGCUCAGGAUGAACGCUAGCGGCAGGCUUAACACAUGCAAGUCGAGGGGCAGCGCGAGUAGCAAUACUUGGCGGCGACCGGCGCAAGGGUGCGUAACGCGUGAGCAACAUGCCCGUAUCAGGGGGAUAAUCCAGGGAAACUUGGUCUAAUACCCAUAGUAAUUUUGUAAGGCAUCUUAUAAGAUUUAAAGCUUUGGUGGAUACGGAUUGGCUCGCGUGACAUUAGCUGGAUGGUAAGGUAACGGCUUACCAUGGCUAUGAUGUCUAGGGGUUCUGAGAGGAAGGUCCCCCCACACUGGAACUGAGACACGGUCCAGACUCCUACGGGAGGCAGCAGUGAGGAAUAUUGGACAAUGGAUGGAAAUCUGAUCCAGCCAUGCCGCGUGAAGGAAGAAAGGUCCUAUGGAUUGUAAACUUCUUUUGUAUGGGAGCAAUAAGGCCUACGAGUAGGUUGAUGAGAGUACCAUACGAAUAAGCACCGGCUAACUCCGUGCCAGCAGCUGC
This 505-nucleotide ribosomal RNA is filed under the name uncultured bacterium. RNAcentral describes it as "bacterial SSU rRNA". It matches the Rfam family "Bacterial small subunit ribosomal RNA", at positions 19 to 518 of the family's 1533-position model. The record is from RNAcentral.